GACGAACGCUGGCGGCGUGCUUAACACAUGCAAGUCGAACGGAAAGGCCCUGCUUUUGUGGGGUGCUGGAGUGGCGAACGGGUGAGUAACACGUGUGUAACCUGCCCUUGACUUUGGGAUAACUUCAGGAAACUGGGGCUAAUAUCGGAUAGGAGCCCCUGCUGCAUGGUGGGGGUGGGAAAGUUUCGGCGGUUGGGGAUGGACGCGCGGCUGAUCAGCUUGUUGGUGGGGUAGUGGCUUACCAAGGCAUUGACGGGUAGCCGGCCUGAGAGGGUGACCGGGCCCAUUGGGCCUGAGAUAGGGCCCAGAGUCCAACGGGGGGCAGCAGUAGGAAAUCUUGCACAAUGAGCGGAAGCCGGAUGCAGCAACGCCGGGUGCGGGAUGACGGCCUUCGGGUUGUAAACCGCUUUCGCCUGUGACGAAGCGGGAGUGACGGUAAUGGGUAAAGAAGCACCGGCUAACUACGUG
This 468-nucleotide ribosomal RNA is filed under the name uncultured bacterium. RNAcentral describes it as "partial 16S ribosomal RNA". It matches the Rfam family "Bacterial small subunit ribosomal RNA", at positions 28 to 507 of the family's 1533-position model. The record is from RNAcentral.